AUGGAAAAGGUUUUGGUUGCAAAAAAUAACAGAAAUAACAUGGGUACCGCAGGGGCCACGAACGAGGUGGCGACCCUGAGGGAAGCGGUGGCCGUGGCCGAAAACAAAGCGGCUGCGGAGCGCACCGAGCGAGAGAAAGGGGAGGCGCAGCUGGCGGAGGUGCGGCAAGAGCUGCAGAUUCUCGUGAAGAAACACGAGGGUUUGGAGCGUGACUCAAAGACCCAAGAGUCCGAGCUUGCCUCAGCUCUUGAGAGUGCCAAAGCUGCUAAGGCCGAGGCCCAAAAAGCCCUCCAAGAAAUCGAAGCACUAAAGAAGAUAGCGGUGGGUAAGGCAUUCUUUAUGCAAAGCAAGAAUGUAAAAGUCAAUUACCUAUUACUUACCCGGAUUCGGAGCUCUCCAGGAGCAUUCACAGAUUUGCCCCGUAGUGCGUCUGAUGCUGCCGUGUUCUACCACGCCCAGGAGGGGAGCUCCACGGAGAAGGUGUUCUGGUCUUAG
RNAcentral lists this ribosomal RNA (495 nucleotides) under Triticum aestivum (bread wheat). RNAcentral's name for it is "partial small subunit ribosomal RNA". Lineage: Eukaryota; Viridiplantae; Streptophyta; Magnoliopsida; Poales; Poaceae. The record is from RNAcentral.